RNAcentral lists this ribosomal RNA (497 nucleotides) under uncultured bacterium. RNAcentral's name for it is "partial 16S ribosomal RNA". It matches the Rfam family "Bacterial small subunit ribosomal RNA", at positions 28 to 507 of the family's 1533-position model. The record is from RNAcentral.
GAUGAACGCUGGCGGCGUGCCUAAUACAUGCCAGUCGAGCGAACAGACGAGGAGCUUGCUCCUCUGACGUUAGCGGCGGACGGGUGAGUAACACGUGGAUAACCUACCUAUAAGACUGGGAUAACUUCGGGAAACCGGAGCUAAUACCGGAUAAUAUAUUGAACCGCUUGGUUCAAUAGUGAAAGACGGUUUUGCUGUCACUUAUAGAUGGAUCCGCGCCGGAUUAGCUAGUUGGUAAGGUAACGGCUUACCAAGGCAACGAUGCGUAGCCGACCUGAGAGGGUGAUCGGCCACACUGGAACUGAGACACGGUCCAGACUCCUACGGGAGGCAGCAGUAGGGAAUCUUCCGCAAUGGGCGAAAGCCUGACGGAGCAACGCCGCGUGAGUGAUGAAGGUCUUCGGAUCGUAAAACUCUGUUAUUAGGGAAGAACAAAUGUGUAAGUAACUAUGCACGUCUUGACGGUACCUAAUCAGAAAGCCACGGCUAACUACGUG